AGUAUAUGGCUCUUGCCAACUGUAACCUUGGUCAGGGGGACAUUUACCACUGGCAGCGGCAAACCUGGUAACAAACAGUGUCCUAGGAUCUUUUUCGUAGGCAGCAAUUUUUCCAGCUUGGGUGAAGAAUUUUGUAGUCGCCAUCCUAAGUGGUCUUGGCAGAUACAUCCCAGGCGAAAAAAAUCCUUUUACAGGCAUACUAUUCAUUUGCUUUUGGGGACCUUUGACUCAAGCACUGUGUGCUAUUUGGUUUCCUAAAAUCAAGGGGAGAACCAAAGAGCAGUGCUAUGAGUUUACAUCAUGAUCUCACCCUGGUGUUGUUUCCUUUCUCUACAUUCAGGUCAAGAGAGCAAUGGAACAUGGUAUGUAUUUUGGAAUCUGUCUCCUGCUGAUGCAAGAAUCUAUAUGUUCAGGAAGCUGGAGCAUUCCUGAUGGCAUCAGUCUGGAGAGCUACCCUGACGCCAGGGUUCUGGUAGGACAGAGGCUUGAGGGUGUGGAGAGAAGACAGAUUUCCCAGGGGAAACCUAUGUCCAUUUUUACAGUGUGAGGAAGAAAAUAUAAUCAGUGUGUGGUGUGUGUGUGUGUGUGUGUGUGUGGACGCACAAGUGUGUUUGAGAGAGGCAGAACCUGAGGGACAGAGAAAGAGACAGAGAAACUUACAAAGAGAAUGAGACAUGAGAGACAGAGACAGAGAGAGAGAGAGAGAGAGGUGUGUUUCCCCGGGAGAUAUGUGCCACUGACACUGCACAAUGUCCGAUGUUUAGUGUCUCAGCAAACUCCUCCUACUGCACACUUCAAAGAUUAUUGCUGAGUGAGGCUCAGCAGUCACAUGCAGUCCAUGCAGGUUACCAAAACCUCUGUAUGGCCUGCCCCAUAUUCAUAUCACGGAACAGUCCCUGAGUUAUUCUUGAGCAGCACCAACAAUGUACUGACCUGUUUUCUGUGUCCUUCUAGGUGUCCCUGUGGAGAAAGAGCUGCAGUCCGUUGCAGUAAGGAGGCAAAAGACUGUUGCAGAGGUGGCCAUAGGAGCACGAGAAGAAGGUGUCCCUAAGGAGGAAAAUGUGUGGGCCAUUCCUGUCAGGAGACACCAAGGUGUUGCUGAGGUGAGCCUGCCUGUCUUUGCCUAUGGAAGACACGUUGAUUACUUAGUGUAUCUCCACUCAUAUUCGGUGACAUAGGACUAUGUACAUUUUACAUGAUAGCAUUCAAUUCUGUCGUAGGGAGAUUGGUGAGUGGUUGUCCCUUACCAACUGUAACUUGAUCAAGAGCACAUUAACCACUGGCAAUGCCAAUCCUGCUAAGAAACAGUGUCAUAUGAUCUUUUCCUGAGUAGCUUUAUUUCCUGCUUGGGUGAGGAAUUUUGUAGUCGGCACCCUAAAUGGUCUUCAGAGACACAUCCCCAGUAAAGAACAACUUCUGACGGGCAUGCUAUUCAUUUGCUAUUGGGGACCUUUGACUCAAG
Long non-coding RNA from Neofelis nebulosa (Clouded leopard), 1462 nucleotides. RefSeq lists it as uncharacterized. Lineage: Eukaryota; Metazoa; Chordata; Mammalia; Carnivora; Felidae. The record is from RefSeq and is a predicted model, not a curated record. The transcript has 3 exons.